RNAcentral lists this ribosomal RNA (497 nucleotides) under uncultured bacterium. RNAcentral's name for it is "partial 16S ribosomal RNA". It matches the Rfam family "Bacterial small subunit ribosomal RNA", at positions 28 to 507 of the family's 1533-position model. The record is from RNAcentral.
GAUGAACGCUGGCGGCGUGCCUAAUACAUGCAAGUCGAGCGAACGGACGAGAAGCUUGCUUCUCUGAUGUUAGCGGCGGACGGGUGAGUAACACGUGGAUAACCUACCUAUAAGACUGGGAUAACUUCGGGAAACCGGUGCUAAUACCGGAUAAUAUUUUGAACCGCAUGGUUCAAAAGUGAAAGACGGUCUUGCUGUCACUUAUAGAUGGAUCCGCGCUGCAUUAGCUAGUUGGUAAGGUAACGGCUUACCAAGGCAACGAUGCAUAGCCGACCUGAGAGGGUGAUCGGCCACACUGGAACUGAGACACGGUCCAGACUCCUACGGGAGGCAGCUGUAGGGAAUCUUCCGCAAUGGGCGAAAGCCUGACGGAGCAACGCCGCGUGAGUGAUGAAGGUCUUCGGAUCGUAAAACUCUGUUAUUAGGGAAGAACAGAUGUGUAAGUAACUGUGCACAUCUUGACGGUACCUAAUCAGAAAGCCACGGCUAACUACGUG